RNAcentral lists this transfer RNA (72 nucleotides) under Bos taurus (domestic cattle). It matches the Rfam family "tRNA". Rfam says of the family: Transfer RNA (tRNA) molecules are approximately 80 nucleotides in length. Their secondary structure includes four short double-helical elements and three loops (D, anti-codon, and T loops). Lineage: Eukaryota; Metazoa; Chordata; Mammalia; Artiodactyla; Bovidae. The record is from Rfam by way of RNAcentral. RNAcentral also lists the same sequence under 1 other name.
UCCCUAGUGGUCCUGUGGCUAAGACUCUGCACUCCCAGUGCAGGGGCCUGGGUUCGAAUCUCAGUCAAGGAG